This 623-nucleotide ribosomal RNA is filed under the name uncultured archaeon. Its description in RNAcentral is "bacterial SSU rRNA". It matches the Rfam family "Archaeal small subunit ribosomal RNA", at positions 146 to 774 of the family's 1478-position model. The record is from RNAcentral.
AUAAUACUCCAUAGAUUAGAGACACUGGAAUGUUCUUUAGUCGAAAGUUCUGGCGCCUUAGGAUGGAUCUGCGGUCGAUUAGGUUGUUGUUGGGGUAACGGCCCAACAAGCCUGUAAUCGAUACGGGUUGUGGGAGCAAGAGCCCGGAGAUGGAAUCUGAGACACGAUUCCAGGCCCUACGGGGCGCAGCAGGCGCGAAAACUUUACAAUGCAGGAAACUGUGAUAAGGGAACUCCGAGUGCCCGUAUACGCGGGCUGUCCAGGUGUUUAAAAAUCAUCUGAAGAAAGGGCCGGGCAAGACCGGUGCCAGCCGCCGCGGUAAUACCGGCGGCUCGAGUGGUGGCCACUAUUAUUGGGCUUAAAGCGUCCGUAGCUGGACCGAUAAGUCUCUUGGGAAAUCCGCCGGCUCAACCGGCGGGCGUCUAAGGGAUACUGUUAGUCUAGGGACCGGGAGAGGUGAGAGGUACUCCGGGGGUAGGAGUGAAAUCCUGUAACCCCCGGGGGACCACCGAUGGCGAAGGCAUCUCACCAGAACGGUUCCGACAGUGAGGGACGAAAGCUGGGGGAGCGAACCGGAUUAGAUACCCGGGUAGUCCCAGCCGUAAACUAUGCGCGUUAGGUGU